Molecule: ribosomal RNA, 480 nt
Filed under: uncultured bacterium
Lineage: Bacteria
Description: partial 16S ribosomal RNA
Rfam family: Bacterial small subunit ribosomal RNA
Source: RNAcentral
GACGAACGCUGGCGGCGUGCUUAACACAUGCAAGUCGAACGAUGAAGAAAAGAAUCGAAGCUUCGGCAGAAAUUCAUUUCGGAUUAGUGGCAGACGGGUGAGUAACGCGUGAGCAACCUACCUCUUACAAAGGGAUAGCCUCGGGAAACCGGGAUUAAUACCAUAUAACAUUGUGACGAAGCAUUUCGAUGCAAUCAAAGCUACGGCGGUAAGAGAUGGGCUCGCGUCCCAUUAACCGGAUGGUGAGGUAACGGCUCACCAUAGUGACGAUGGGUAACCGGCCUGAGAGGGUGAACGGUCACACUGGAACUGAGACACGGUCCAGACUCCUACGGGAGGCAGCAGUGGGGAAUAUUGCACAAUGGAGGGAACUCUGAUGCAGCGACGCCGCGUGAGUGAUGAAGGAAUUAGUUUCGUAAAACUCUGUUCUAUGGGAAGAAAAGGACUGUACCAUAGGAGAAAGCUCCGGCUAAAUACGUG